UACCAGGUCUACGUCUGCGCCAGGCGAGCAGGGUAGAAGAUCUACUACAUAAUGCUGUACGAUCGUACUGACUGUUUGUGUAGUCUGUCUGUGUAGUGACUUGUUUACAGUUGCAGUUGAAUGUCGGACACACUGUGAAGAGCUCUGUUGAAGAAAGACUGAGCAGUUUUGUUGCCUGGUUGAAAAAUAAGCAAGUCAGUCACUGAGUCAGUGUUUUGUUUUCAGAACGUUUCGACCUCGUGCUCAGGGCGGCCCGUGCGUUUCGGUCAGCACAAACCCAACACGCCAGUACUGCAGUGCAGUGUCAUUGCUAGUUUGUUAGCGACUGCCGGACAAAGUGGUAGCGGUUGAGCCGGUCGCAGUCGUUACAACGGCCCCACUCUGCGUGGAAAGCAGGUGGGGCCGGUUUCUCUUGUAGGUGUACGUGCUUGCCACGCCACGCAACCGUUGGUGACGACGCAUCCCUCUCUGCAUCGUCGAGCGCAGCAGCAGCAGCAGCAAGGGACAUACAGGAAGGCAAAAUCAUGGCUGA
This is a long non-coding RNA of Sycon ciliatum, 532 nucleotides long. RefSeq lists it as uncharacterized. The transcript is spliced from 2 exons. NCBI's taxonomy places the organism in Eukaryota, Metazoa, Porifera, Calcarea, Leucosolenida, Sycettidae. The record is from RefSeq and is a predicted model, not a curated record.